CGAGGGGCGGGCCCAUGGGCGGGGCCGUUUUUGUACAAAGCUGUAACAUUGUGGGGACAGCAGGCCACGGUGAUUCAACUUUAUGGACAACCUUUACAAAAACCUUUCUGCCUGUCCCAACGCCUGCCGUCCCUCCACUUUUCUCCCAGGUCCCAGGCCCAGGCGUGGUUUGAAUCAGAAUGCCUCUGCCUCACCCCUGUCUCCCUGUCAAGCCAAGACCAUGAGUAAGGAUAGGCCUGGCUCAAAACUGAAGCUUCCAGGCAGACAGCCCAGACCAGAUGCAAGAAGAAUGCCUCAGUGGCCUCAUGGGUGAAGGACUCAGGGACAUCCUUUCAUCCCAAUCCCCAUGGAACCUGGAACAAGGUCAGUGGGAAGGUCCAUGGAGAUGACCCGUUCUAUAAAGGAAGAAGCCAGAGAUAUCCUGGCUUUCCAUGGAUGCGGUAAUGAGAUCUGGGACGCUGCCCUCCUCUCCAGGCCCACAUCCCUUUGAUGGACCCCCGGAGAGAAUUGAGGGCCUCUGGAUGGCCUCUGGUCACACUCCAUGGCCCCAAAAGUCAAAAGUCAAAAAUGUUGUUUUGCACUAUAUCUAUAAAGCACAGGAGGGGAAUUUUUAUCCCAGAGUCCUCCAGACCCCAGCCAGGGCCCCUCUUCUCUCCAUGCCUCAAAUUCAUUUUUCUCCUUGCCCCAUGUCACUGUGUGAACACUGAAGUCUUCUUCGGAGAAGGCACGAGGCUCACGGUUGUAGGAAUGAGUUCAGAGGAGGGUCCCUGUAGGGGCAAAUUCAUCCAGCCCCUCAAGGGCCUCCAUCAACUCAGAGCUGAGCCUCGGUGGUUAGGGCAGAGAAGGGAAAGGAGGUGGUGCUGCCCCGCUGAGGAGUUACCUGAGAUAGGGGAGCGGAGAGAAAGCCUGGAAGGUAAUUAGCGAGUCCUGACAUCGGUCCAUCUCCCCUCACUGAUGGAGGUUCUCUGCAGGGGCUUCAUAUUUUUCCUUGCUCUGGAUUUCAUAGGAGGCCACACUGUUCUCCUUUUUUUCCAGCUGUCAGGGGCCCUGGGAAAGCUCUGAAAGGGUACGGGGAGUUUUAGAAGCAGGGCUGGUGGCUCUGUGAGGGAAGAGAUCCAUGAACGGCCCAUCCUCUCCCUGAAUGCCAGCUGGGCUCAGCAAACAAGGGGAGGUUUUGAAGGGGAUCUGGGAGGCUGUGCUUUGGAAACACCGUUGAUUUUGGGGAGGGAAGCCGGCUCACUGUUGUAGGUAAGCCAGUCAGGGCUGGAGGGCUGGGAAUCUACAGGCAGGAGCAGGGAUCCAGAUGGAGCCACUGUCUUGGGUGUUUGGGUUAAAGCAUGUUUUCACCAGAAAUACCUGAAUUCCUGUCUUGAUGUAGACAGGAGGGGACAGACUCGAUCUCCAAUAUUUCAUGCUCUAGCUAGCUGUGCCAAGUUUGGUUUCCCCUACUAGGAGGCAAGUAAUCUCAGCUGGGAAGGGGUCAUCUUGUCCAUCUCCCAUCUCCUUGGAGGGUUCCCCAUUAAGGCCAUGACAGAUGGGAGAGCCUCCGGCCUUAGAGCUGUCAUAGUCCUGCAAUUUCCUCCCUCACGCAGAAAGGAGAGGGACACAGGAGAAGGAGGAGGGGUCCCACGGGGCCGAAUCAGUCCUCUGACCACAACAUUUCAGGGUGCACAGUUGUCCUCUCUCCACCUCCCAGGGUUAAGAUUCUGCUAAGGAAAGGGAGAAGAGAGCUGGCAGACAGGCUUGGGGAGAAGGAAUGGGAGGCACCAGGGGCAGUUUUCUACCAGGCUUUACUGUUGUGUAACUAAUGAAAAACUAUUUUUCGGCAAUGGAACCAAGCUCUCUGUCUUGGGUAAGUAAAAGUCUUUCCUGGGGGUAGUGUCUUGUAAGGCUGGAGUUCCAGAAGGACUCCUUAGAGAGGGCAGGGACAGAGAAUUCAGCAGGGAAAAGGUUCAGAGGGUGUGUGUGCGCGGAGUGCGUGCUGGAGCCCCUAGGAGUUCUGGGUGGAAGCUUCUGGACGGAAUGGUCGCCCACCAGCAACUAUGGGGUUUUCCACACUCAUGUUGUACUGUGGAGCAACCAGCCACAGCACUUUGGAGAGGGAACUCGACUCUCUGUCCUAGGUAAGGCGCAGGACCAGGGUAGCAGGGUCAUUGUCCCUUGGAUGCGGACUCUAGCUUCUCCUCUCAGCCCUGGUGAAAGGGCAGUUAACUUCUCAUUCCUGUGCGGCUUCCAAGAAACUGUGUUUGCCAUGGCUUGGGGUUGAUUUCUCUAUGUCUCCAGUCCCUAAUCAGCUUCCUUACUCUGUGCUUAGUCCACCCUCCUGCCUUACAUGUGGGGAUCUGCCCUCCUGAGCCUCUUCCACUCCGUCUCUCCCAGUAGAAUGCUUAAGCUUCUCUCCUUAUGGAUCUCUUUGGUCCCAAGUCCCAAAUCCAGGCAGGGACAGGUGGCCAUCCCUACUCCCAGGGAGCUAAGACUUGCCCUCUGGCUGGAGACCUCCGGCAGGUUUUAGCACAGCUGUCUGCAGCUGUGUUCCUAUAAUUCGCCGCUCUACUUUGGGCCCGGCACCAGGCUCACUGUCACAGAGAACCUGAACCAGGUGACCCUACCCAAGGUGGCUGUGUUUGAACCUUCGGAAGCAGAGAUCUCCCGCACCGAGAAGGCCACGCUCGUGUGCCUGGCCACAGGCUUCUACCCCGACCACGUGGAGCUGAGCUGGUGGGUGAAUGGGAAGGAAGUCCAGACUGGGGUCAGCACGGACCCUCAGCCCUACAGGGAGCAGUCAGAUGAUGAAAACCCCAGCUACUGUCUGAGCAGCCGGCUGAGGGUCUCUGCUGCCUUCUGGCACAACCCCCGCAACCACUUCCGCUGCCAAGUCCAGUUCUUCGGCCUCGAGGAGAACGAUGAGUGGAAAGAGAACCGGACCAAACCUGUCAGGCAGAACAUCAGUGCUGAGGCCUGGGGCAGAGCAGACUGUGGCCUCAGCUCAGUGUCCUAUCAGCGAGGGGUCCUGUCUGCCACCAUCCUCUAUGAGAUUCUUCUGGGGAAGGCCACCCUGUAUGCUGUACUGGUCAGCGCCCUCGUGCUGAUGGCCAUGGUCAAGAGAAAGGAUCCCUGAAGCCAGCUCAAAGGUGGAGCUAGAAGCUUCCAGACCAUUAUCACCCCACCAUGGAGUUUCCUUUUUCUUUUCCUAGCCAGGGCUUCUGAAGAGCUGUUCUCAUCUCUCUACUCAUCCUGAUAUCUACUCCCUCAAGUGCUUGCACACCUCGACACUCAUGACCAAAAUCUCUCUGACCCAAGGGGGACCCUAGUGUGCCUGUGUUGACUGAACCAAUAAAAAUGGCCUGUUCUGGCUUGACUCUGCCUUAUGACUGUCUAGAUAUCUCUUCUUCCCAUGUCUGAACUGCCCAUGUGACUCUAGUCAGGAUAGAAACAAGAGGUAUUCAAGGAAGGUGUAGUCCCUUCAGGUGCGAGGGGCAAGGGACCCAGCCUGUGGCUGGCACUGCUCCUGCUUGUCAGGGGAACUCAAGUAAAUGUGAAAGUUGGUAAUGGGAUGUGAACAGGCUUACUCUGGAACAGCCUAGAAAUAUGGGGAUGUUGACCAUAAGAACUUUCUGUCCUACCUGGAUAAAGGUGCUCUGAGGAAGAGCUGACCUACAUAGGUGUGUCCAUCUGCCAACUGGCCAUAUGCCCCUGGCUAACAAAGCUUGGCUUUAUCUCUAUUGCCCACAUUCCUUUCAGCUGUCUCACUGAGUACACUCUAAUCUUCAUUUAUCGCCGUGGAGGCUUCCUAGCUGAGAAGAGAAUGUACUGACUUGGCUAUUGGUUCUCAGUAGCAGAUGUAUCCUCCAGUUUAAGUUAAAA
This is a long non-coding RNA of Equus caballus (horse), 3864 nucleotides long. NCBI's taxonomy places the organism in Eukaryota, Metazoa, Chordata, Mammalia, Perissodactyla, Equidae. The record is from Ensembl.